UGAAUACGAGAUGCUACGGCGUCGAAGCAGUCUAUGUCAUACUUCCAAGAAAAGCUCGCACUGUCAUAAACAAAUAAUGCCUGUACCAUAACCGACACAGGUGGGUAGGUAGAGUAUACUAAGGGGCGCGAGAUAACUCUCUCUAAGGAACUCGGCAAAAUGACUCCGUAACUUCGGGAGAAGGAGUGCCUUAUUUAUAAGGUUGCAAUAACAAGAUCCAAGCAACUGUUUAUCAAAAACACAGGUCUCCGCUAAGUCGUAAGACGAUGUAUGGGGGCUGACGCCUGCCCAGUGCCAGAAGGUUAAAGAAGUUGGUUAGCAUUCGCGAAGCUGAUAACUGAAGCCCUGGUGAACGGCGGCCGUAACUAUAACGGUCCUAAGGUAGCGAAAUUCCUUGUCGGGUAAGUUCCGACCCGCACGAAAGGCGUAAUGAUUUGGAUACUGUCUCGGAGAGGGGCUCGGUGAAAUAGACUUGUCUGUGAAGAUGCGGACUACCUGCACCAGGACAGAAAGACCCUAUGAAGCUUUACUGUAACUUGAGAUUGAAAUUGGACUUUACUUGCGCAGUAUAGGUGGGAGGCGUUGAUAAUAUUCUUGCGGGAUUAUUUGAGCCAUCAGUGAGAUACCACUCUUGUAAUGUUAGAUUUCUAACUUUGUAUCAUUAUCUGGUCAAAGGACAGUUUCAGGCGGGCAGUUUGACUGGGGCGGUCGCCUCCUAAACGGUAACGGAGGCGCACAAAGGUUUUCUCUGAACGGGUAGAAAUCGUAUCUAGAGUGUAAAGGCAUAAGGAAGCUUGACUGUGAGACCUACAAGUCGAGCAGGGACGAAAGUCGGUCUUAGUGAUCUGACGGUGCUGAGUGGAAAGGCCGUCACUCAACGGAUAAAAGUUACUCUAAGGAUAACAGGCUGAUCUCCCCCAAGAGUUCACAUCGACGGGGAGGUUUGGCACCUCGAUGUCGGCUCAUCGCAUCCUGGGGCGGUAGUACGUCCCAAGGGUUGGGCUGUUCGCCCAUGAAAGCGGUACGCGAGCUGGGUUCAGAACGUCGUGAGACAGUUCGGUCCAUAUCCGGUGUAGGCGUUAGAAUAUUGAGAGGAGCCUUCUUUAGUACGAGAGGACCGAGAAGGACAUACCUCUGGUGUACCAGUUAUCGUGCCAACGGUAAACGCUGGGUAGCUAUGUAUGGAGUGGAUAUCCGCUGAAAGCGUCUAAGUGGGAAGCCCACCUCAAGAUGAUUGCUCUCACAGGGUUAACCUGGUAAGGUCACGGGAAGACCACCCGUUGAUAGGCACUCGGUGGAAGUCCAGCAAUGGAUGAAGCCAAGGUGUACUAACAGACCGAGGGCUUG
RNAcentral lists this ribosomal RNA (1347 nucleotides) under metagenome. Its description in RNAcentral is "bacterial LSU rRNA". It matches the Rfam family "Bacterial large subunit ribosomal RNA", at positions 1564 to 2925 of the family's 2925-position model. The record is from RNAcentral.